This is a long non-coding RNA of Mustela erminea (ermine), 2031 nucleotides long. RefSeq lists it as uncharacterized. The transcript is spliced from 3 exons. Lineage: Eukaryota; Metazoa; Chordata; Mammalia; Carnivora; Mustelidae. The record is from RefSeq and is a predicted model, not a curated record.
UGUAAGUUUCUGUUUGUAGCUAAACAAAACACAGGGUAUCCAGGAUAUCCUUUAUGUCUGCCUUGGACUCACAGAAAGCCUCUGCAUUUUCACAGGUGUCAGUGCAGAAUGAUGAGAUGAGGACAGCAUGACCCUAGACAUUUUAGUUGAUUUUUUUGUAGCUUCUACCUCAUGGCAAAUCUUUUUUCUUUCCCUCUGGCAAGCCAGGGUUUUCUUGAACAUCCCUGAAAUGGCCUACGUUAUAGUUAACCUUCUAAAAUCUGUUUCUCGCUAUGGGAAUUUUCAUUCAGAACAUUUCAAGUACAAGGAGGGUCCUUGUCCACUUCCCACCCCCAGUCUUUGGGUCUCAAAAGAGUCUGUAAUUAAUUGUGUGUGGCAUUGUGGGGGGAAAAUUAGAGGGCUGCAUUUAUCUUCAAAUCAUACUUUAGUUUAUGCCAGCCUCAGUGAGACCAGUCCAAAGAAAGAAUGGAAUUUAAGACUCUCUUUCCAUCUUUCGUAUCAGUGCCUCCUCCUUCCACUUUCUCAUCCCACUCGCUUAAAAGAGGGCUUAUCAUCAUUACUCUUAGCUUUCCACACACUAUUAAGUUACCAAUGCAGGUAGAUAGAACCACUUCUAGGGUAAAGAAUUUUGUCUGGCAUUCCAGUGUUUACCCUUUAUGACUCCCCAUAACUGUCAACCUGAGGCCCACAUAAUAGCAAAGCUAUGAAUUCCUUAAGCCAGAAACCAAGAAAGUCCUGGUCAUAUGGACCUUCCCAGGCCACAGAAUAAUACCUUGCUCUUUCCAGUUACAUUCUCACCUUGGAGAUAGCCUCUUGGGUUAAAUGUCAACCUAAUACUCUGUUUCUAUAGUUUACUAUUAAUAGAGUAUCAGUAUUUGUUGAGCAUGAACAUGCCAGGCACUGUUCCUGGCCCUGCAGCUACAACUAUCAAAAAGACACAAUCCCUUAAGGAGACUUUCAUGGGAGAGGAGGAAAAUGAACGUCUAAAUCUAUGCUAAUGAUAUAGGAUCAUUCUAUCAAGUGUCUGGAGGUGAAGCAACAAUCUCGCAACCACUGAGUACAGAAACUGAACGUUAAGGAUGGAGAAGUUGGAAGUGAAAAGGAGAUUGAGUUCUUAACUUUUUUUUUUUUUUUUUAAAGUAGCUAGAGCUGCUAUUAUCUAUUUAUGGACUUCAUGUUAUACAAGAAAAAAACUUCUAUUUGCUGAAGCCACUGAGGUCAACCUUCUUUUAUAUGCAGCUGAACACAACACAAACUGAGGGUCUACAUCUUUGACCUUUUUGAUCUUUGGUCUGUGAUUACAGCAGAAAUAGCCCUCUUCCCACAGAAUUUAUGUUAAUUUAGAUCUUUUUUCCAUGUUCCGUGGGAUCAACAAGGAGAUAGAACCAUUUUAACAAUUUGAACAAAGAAAAUCUAAAGAUUGUUAACCAAUAAAAGGUAUCUAUUAAGAAGAAUAAAGUGGUUUCUAAGAGGUGCAGAAGUAGCAACUGUCGGAAGAGCUACUACCCUUGGCUAAGGAUGAGUGAACAGAAAGGAAGACCUUAGAAAUUUAAAGAAGAGGGCAUGGCUGUCACAGGACUGUAUAGUCCCCCUGUGGUGAAGGAACUUGCUAGAGGCACCAGCCACAAGUGAACCAGGAAGACUGCUGAGGUCCACAAAACCAGGCUCCUCUUGGGAACCAAUCCAUGGGCUCCACACAGAAUGAAAGAAAAGUCAUUUCCUCCAGCUCUGGUCUCACAGGGUCUUUCCAUGGCCCUCUUCUGGCAAAGCCUAACAUUUUGCCAGUUGUCAAAGCAGAAAUGCUUGCAGAGUCUAGCUCUAGAAAUAACAAAGCAAAAGAAUGGAUUUAUAGCUGAGAAGUCAUAAGUUAAUAAAUGGCACAGAUGGUAAGAUUCUCAGGGGUUAGGUCUAAUUCACAUUUAGGUCUUCUACAGCACCUAACAGAGUGUUAAACAUAGUAGUCACUCAAUAUAUUUUUACUCAAUAAUAUAUAAGGGGCUCAGUAUAUACAAAAUAAUUUGCAAUGUUUUU